Carcharodon carcharias (great white shark) is the source of this 71-nucleotide small nucleolar RNA. RefSeq annotates it as small nucleolar RNA R38. Lineage: Eukaryota; Metazoa; Chordata; Chondrichthyes; Lamniformes; Lamnidae. The transcript has a single exon. The record is from RefSeq and is a predicted model, not a curated record.
UCAAGCCGGUGAUGAAUCGUUAUCCCUGUCAGACACUCGUUGUUGAAGAUAUGUAAUAGGCUGAGGCUUGA